RNAcentral lists this ribosomal RNA (495 nucleotides) under uncultured bacterium. RNAcentral describes it as "partial 16S ribosomal RNA". It matches the Rfam family "Bacterial small subunit ribosomal RNA", at positions 28 to 523 of the family's 1533-position model. The record is from RNAcentral.
GAUGAACGCUGGCGGCGUGCUCAACACAUGCAAGUCGAGCGAAGCACUUAAGUUCGAUUAUUCGGAUGAAGACUUUUGUGACUGAGCGGCGGACGGGUGAGUAACGCGUGGGUAACCUGCCUCAUACAGGGGGAUAACAGUCAGAAAUGGCUGCUAAUACCGCAUAAGACCACAGUAAUGCAUGGUACAGUGGUAAAAACUCCGGUGGUAUGAGAUGGACCCGCGUCUGUUUAGGUAGUUGGUGAGGUACCGGCCCACCAAGCCGACGAUCAGGAGCCGACCUGAGAGGGUGACCGGCCACAGUGGAACUGAGACACGGCCCAGUCUCCUACGAGAGGCAGCAGAGGGUAAUAUUGCACAAUUGGCGAAAGCCUGAUGCAGCAACGCCGCGUGAAGGAUGAAGUAUUUCGGUAUGUAAACUUCUAUCAGCAGGGAAGAAAGUGACGGUACCUGACUAAGAAGCCCCGGCUAACUACGUGCCAGCCGCCGCCGUAA